RNAcentral lists this long non-coding RNA (387 nucleotides) under Solanum tuberosum (potato). Its description in RNAcentral is "long non-coding RNA (STUB_LNC006211)". The record is from RNAcentral. Lineage: Eukaryota; Viridiplantae; Streptophyta; Magnoliopsida; Solanales; Solanaceae.
CAAAUGACCACCAGACCACCAGUUCUCCGACCUCCAAACAACCAACCAACAAAACCCCGACCAAAACCCCAUCGGAAAACAACUGAAGCACCGCUAACAGAUCAAACCAACAACACAAUCAGGCGAGAAUCAAGGCUCGAAAACAACAGCCACAACUUCAUAUCCGGCUAGGCUCAACAAGCAAGCAAUAACAUAGUUUUAGAUCUGCCCACAGGAAAGCAAAAUCCGAUGAUUGAACGAGCUCCAAGCUCCGACCACACUAGUGUGCUAAAUCUCUCUAAUCUUUUUCAUAUACUUCCUCUAUUGAAUGUGGUCAUGGAGGAAACCUAUUGUCAAUCUUGGAUGGGAUUUUCAUUGCAGUCAAGGAUGACAGUGAUUGCUAUUUUC